RNAcentral lists this ribosomal RNA (253 nucleotides) under uncultured bacterium. Its description in RNAcentral is "partial 16S ribosomal RNA". It matches the Rfam family "Bacterial small subunit ribosomal RNA", at positions 524 to 776 of the family's 1533-position model. The record is from RNAcentral.
UACAGAGGUCUCAAGCGUUGUUCGGAUUCAUUGGGCGUAAAGGGUGCGUAGGCGGCGCGGUAAGUCGGGUGUGAAAUCUCGGAGCUUAACUCCGAAACUGCAUUCGAUACUGCCGUGCUUGAGGACUGGAGAGGAGACUGGAAUUUACGGUGUAGCUGUGAAAUGCGUAGAUAUCGUAAGGAAGACCAGUGGCGAAGGCGGGUCUCUGGACAGUUCCUGACGCUGAGGCACGAAGGUCAGGGGAGCAAACGGG